GUCACUCUAGGCACCGCAGCACUGUGCUGGGGAUGUUGCAGCUGCCGGGAGUGAUUU
Molecule: microRNA precursor, 57 nt
Filed under: Pteropus alecto (black flying fox)
Lineage: Eukaryota; Metazoa; Chordata; Mammalia; Chiroptera; Pteropodidae
Description: microRNA pal-mir-1301 precursor
Source: miRBase by way of RNAcentral